This is a long non-coding RNA of Papaver somniferum (opium poppy), 1967 nucleotides long. RefSeq lists it as uncharacterized. The transcript has 4 exons. The record is from RefSeq and is a predicted model, not a curated record. NCBI's taxonomy places the organism in Eukaryota, Viridiplantae, Streptophyta, Magnoliopsida, Ranunculales, Papaveraceae.
GGCAGCUAUUUUUCAUUCUUCUCCAUCACCAACACAGACCACCCAAACACCAUCCACUACUUCCAUCACCACACCGACACCUUCUUCUUCUUCCCUGAUUUAGUUAGUAGACACAAAUCUAUGAAACCCCAAGAACCCUAGAAUUAAAAUCUAGAUUUGUUCUUACUUCACAAAGCUUUAUCCUAACCCAUUUCAGCAUUUUCUUCUUUAAAUCAUCAUUCUCGUUACGAUCUUGAUCAUCAAAUUCAUCAGGUAUGAUGUACCGAAGCUUUAUUUUAUUGGUUUGUUGCAGGAUAUAACCCUUCAAGAAGCCGAAACAGGACAACAUUACUUUAGACACUGAACUCGUUGAAAAUCCUAUCUAUAUCCUGGAGCUUAGGUUUUAGGCUUCUUAUCGCGGACAGACAUUUGCUAAGACUGAUGCAGUACGGGGAAUGAUGUACUACAGGAAUUCAAUUAUGCUCCAGAGCAAUUUGGAAAGGAUUUCUCUGGGAGAUUUGCAUUCUUGGUUCCAUAUAUUAUUUUCUUGGUUGAGUCAUGUUAGGAGAUUCCCUAAUGUUGGGAAUUACAGAUAUGGAAGCCACACUCUCAGCAAAGGAGGCCUUUGACACUCAAGAUUUUGAGUUGUCCCCUGAAGCUUGAGCGCAGACAUUGUCAAUUCAUCCAUAAUUACUUAUGAAAUGAUGCGUAUAAAGCUUUUGCAACAUUGGUGACCUAGACUGUUAUUCUUGUGGACCUGGCUGCCUCACGUGAUCAUGCGUGGAAUAGUGAUAUGGAAAGUCCUCGACAAAGCUUAAGAUAGUGGUCUUUCAGUCCCACAAAUAUGUAUCUCUACGUGAUCCUUCGCUCAAGUUUUCAGUGGAAUAUUCUGAGUUACGGUUUAACUUUACUUGUUUACUCCUUCAGGAGAUAACUACCAAUCUUGGAUUAGCUAAAUUUUCUAAUUCUCAUUUUGUGCGUUUGUUAUGCAACGGCCUCUUAUUGAAUGAUGAACAACCUACUAUAUACUGAUGCAUAUGAAAUGAAGCUUUCUCCAUUUGAGGCAGUGGGUACCAACAAUUCCUCAUUUGGAUAUUAUUUUUACCAUAUGCUAUCUUUGACUACACGAUCAGUAAUUUCUUAAGAUGAAUAUUUUCCACUACAUAGUUCUUCUAUUUCUGAAUGUAUAUUUCCUUCUUUGGAUGUCAUUGAUGAGUUGGAGCUCGAAAAACAUAGAAGAUGGACCAGCGCCGCUCGGAUACAGUUUCUGAAUGUUCUGUAAUAAAGAUGUUACCAUUGGCACAUCGAUGGUAACAAUGAAUUUUAACCAUGGAAAUAAUCAUUCGUUGGGAGAACCUUACUGGACUCUAUCAUCCAUUGCCAUGUGGUGUGGGAUAUUCCCAAAUGUUCAAGUCAGUUUAUUUUUACUUACCGUUGUUUUCUUUUUACUUAUGUAUAUUAAAUAUUAAUAAACCAAAUAUCUCCAAAUAUUGAUUGUUUGAUAGUUACCGGAUUAGACUAGUAACUUACUGCCAUAAUUUUACAAUCUUAGGAGUUCAUUGCAUUUCACUACGACUAAAUAUUAGAUAGUUUUUACAUAAUAACGCACAACUCUAGAAGUGUAUCUCUUAAAUACUUGGUUGUCAGACUAGUUAUAGCAUGUCAUACAAAUAAUUUCACAACUGUGAACAACAAUGAACUAAAAACUGUUCUCUUGAAAACUGCUUUUCAGAAGUUGUUGCUUCCUAGGUUGUACUCAAUGUUCCUGAAACCAGAGUUGAUGAUGCACAAUUCGAGGAGAAUGAAAUUUAUGCACUUGAUAUGGUUUCCAUCACAAGGGAGGGGAGAAAAUCAUUUUGCUGUUUAAUCAAUAUAGUUUUUUAGUUCAUCUUCUUGUAAUCUAAUCCUAGAACUACAAAUUAUACUGGUUAGAACUACAAAUUUUAAUUCUUUGUGUCCAAUGAAUCAAUGAAUGUUAAGUUGAAUGA